AGAACAAUAGUUUAAAAAAGAACAUUUAUUUUGCAUAUAAAAAGUAUAAAACCAUUUAUUUGUUUUA
This 67-nucleotide transfer RNA is filed under the name Aeolothrips indicus. RNAcentral describes it as "tRNA-Ala". Lineage: Eukaryota; Metazoa; Arthropoda; Insecta; Thysanoptera; Aeolothripidae. The record is from RNAcentral.